UGGGGAAUAUUGGACAAUGGGGGCAACCCUGAUCCAGCCAUGCCGCGUGUGUGAAGAAGGCUUUCGGGUUGUAAAGCACUUUCAGUGAGGAGGAAAAGUUGGUCGUUAAUACCGGCCAGCCUUGACGUUACUCACAGAAGAAGCACCGGCUAACUCCGUGCCAGCAGCCGCGGUAAUACGGAGGGUGCAAGCGUUAAUCGGAAUUACUGGGCGUAAAGCGCGCGUAGGUGGUUUGAUAAGCGAGAUGUGAAAGCCCCGGGCUUAACCUGGGAACGGCAUUUCGAACUGUCAGGCUAGAGUAUGGUAGAGGAGUGUGGAAUUUCCUGUGUAGCGGUGAAAUGCGUAGAUAUAGGAAGGAACACCAGUGGCGAAGGCGGCACUCUGGACCAAUACUGACACUGAGGUGCGAAAGCGUGGGGAGCAAACAGG
RNAcentral lists this ribosomal RNA (429 nucleotides) under uncultured bacterium. Its description in RNAcentral is "bacterial SSU rRNA". It matches the Rfam family "Bacterial small subunit ribosomal RNA", at positions 355 to 776 of the family's 1533-position model. The record is from RNAcentral.